AUUGAACGCUGGCGGCAGGCUUAACACAUGCAAGUCGAGCGGUAGCACAGGGGAGCUUGCUCCCUGGGUGACGAGCGGCGGACGGGUGAGUAAUGUCUGGGAAACUGCCUGAUGGAGGGGGAUAACUACUGGAAACGGUAGCUAAUACCGCAUAACGUCGCAAGACCAAAGAGGGGGACCUUCGGGCCUCUUGCCAUCAGAUGUGCCCAGAUGGGAUUAGCUAGUAGGUGGGGUAAUGGCUCACUUAGGCGACGAUCCCUAGCUGGUCUGAGAGGAUGACCAGCCACACUGGAACUGAGACACGGUCCAGACUCCUACGGGAGGCAGCAGUGGGGAAUAUUGCACAAUGGGCGCAAGCCUGAUGCAGCCAUGCCGCGUGUGUGAAGAAGGCCUUCGGGUUGUAAAGCACUUUCAGCGAGGAGGAAGGUGGUGAACUUAAUACGCUCAUCAAUUGACGUUACUCGCAGAAGAAGCACCGGCUAACUCCGUGCCAGCCGCCGCCGUAA
RNAcentral lists this ribosomal RNA (506 nucleotides) under uncultured bacterium. Its description in RNAcentral is "partial 16S ribosomal RNA". It matches the Rfam family "Bacterial small subunit ribosomal RNA", at positions 30 to 523 of the family's 1533-position model. The record is from RNAcentral.